This 4320-nucleotide unclassified non-coding RNA is filed under the name Sipha flava (yellow sugarcane aphid). RNAcentral describes it as "sterile alpha and TIR motif-containing protein 1, transcript variant X4". The record is from RNAcentral. Lineage: Eukaryota; Metazoa; Arthropoda; Insecta; Hemiptera; Aphididae.
GUCCCGUCGCAGUCGCACGGAAACGCGUCCGCGGUGCACUAGGCGUACGUCGUACGGGUGUGUUCUCGACACGUCGACCGCGCGCGUGCUCGUUCGUUGUCUCGCGCGCAUCGUUCGUUUCCGCCGUCGUCUCACCGUUUUUUUCGGCUUUCCCGUCCGUUGUUUACGUUUCGUUUUUUUUUUUUUUCACAUCACGAGUCGGCCGACGAACGUUGUUGUCGGACCCCUCGGUGUUCUCCACGUUGUUUGCAAACCCUCCCUCCUCCUCCCCCGCCUCACCGCGCGACCGCUACCGCGUUCAUGUACGCGAGAACUCGGACUUUCGGUCAGCCGCCUCAAGCGCCCGUGGCCAUGCCGUCGCAGCCGGCCCUCAACCGGCCGAGAGGAAUGUUCGCUCACAAAAAGAUUUCGGGGUUUCUGCAAGACGCGGACGAUUCGGACCUGCACCACGAUAUGAGCUCGGUGAUCGAGAAUUUCCAGAAAAAGAAUAGCGUCGGAUCCAUCGGUCCUUCCGCGGCCAUGGCAGCAACGACCUCAAUGAUGACCGCCGGCACCACCACCGGCAAUCACAUGGCCUCGUCGUUGCAGCAGCAGCAACAGGAGCAGCAGUCGUCCUCGUCGUCGCUCCAGUCGUCCUCGUGCUCGCGGUUGAUGGAGUCAUCGUCGUCGCAGCACGUGGUCCAUCAAGUGUCCGAGACGACCACCACGUCGUCCUCGUCUUCGCUGUCGUCCGAACUGCAGAACUCGUCGUCAGAGCUGCUGGAACGACGGGUGCAGCUGCAGGCCGGUGAUGUGACCGAUCGCCACUGCCCGGCCGGAGCGGACCAUCCGUCCGAUCCGCUGGUCACGUUCCCCGAAUCGCCGCCUGUGCUCAUAUCCAAAGCGUCGCCACUGCUCCAGACGUCCGCAGCGACCCGUCCGACGCCGGUCAGACUGCUGCCGCAGACCAACGGUCAGACUAAGUACGGCGCGGCCGAGCGUCGUGUGUCCACCGCGUCGUCCAAGCUGGUCAAGGAGGAGUACGAGGCGUUGUCGUCGUCGUCGUCGUCCAACAGCAGCACCGUGUCCGAUACGACGCAGGACGUGCUGCAGUCGUUGCACCACGCGGACGUGCGCAAAUUGCACGCGGCCAACGCGAUGAUCCGGGCCAAGCUGACCGGGACGAUGGUCGAACGCGGCACCGACACACUACAGAAAGCUACAAGCGCACAGCAGCAAAGACAAACCAUCACCUCGUCGGGAAUGUUCAACCAAGAGAAACACAUUGCGCAAUCGUCGCAGUCGAACUUCACGUUCACUAAAAAAGGCAUCAGCACGAGUUCACAGGCCGUAUCGUCAGCUACUUCGCAGUCGUCGCACAACGGAUCGUCGUCCGGCAAUGGUGGAUCGUCUCCUCCGUCAGUGCACCUGAUGGUGAGAACCGUUGACGAUCUUCUGAACACCAGUUUCGACGAUCUGGACCGGAUGCGAGAGUUCGCCAACCCGACGGACGUGGAGAACGCUAUAGCAAAGUACUCGAAGUACCUGGAAACCGCGGUCCAUGGCUUGACGAGCGGCAAGUACGCUGAGGUCAGAGGUCUGACGAUGCUCGACAAAAUGUUUGAGAUGAUAUGCAAAGCGUGGGCCGUGCCCACCUACGAGCUGGGCUACGCGUUGUGCAACACGUUCAGGGACUGCGGUGGCAUGGACUUGCUGAUGAACAAUUGCGUAUCCAAAGACAACAAGCUGCAGUUUUCCAGUGCCAGGUUGCUGGAGCAAUGCCUGACGGCGGAGAACCGCACUUACGUGGUUGAAAACGGACUGGAAAAGGUGGUGAACUUGGUGUGCGAGUACAAGAGCCAAGUGAGCUCGGCCGAUCAGUCGAAAGUUAGCACCGGCAUCUUGGAACACCUGUUCAAGCACAGCGAGGUGACGUGCAGCGACGUGAUCAGGUUGGGUGGGCUGGAGGUGCUACUGUACGAGUGCCGACGGCGGGACAUCGCAACGUUGCGGCAUUGCGCGGGCGCGCUGGCCAACCUGUCGUUGUACGGCGGUGCGGAGAACCAAGAGCUGAUGAUCAAGCGCAACGUGCCCACGUGGCUGUUCACGUUGGCGUUCAACACGGACGACAACAUCAAAUACUACGCGUUCCUGGCCAUCGCGGUGCUGGUGGCCAACAAGGAGAUCGAGGCGGCCGUGCUCAAGUCGGAGACGCUGGACCUCAUCGACCCGUUCGUCACCACGCACACGCCGUCCGAGUUCGCCAAGUCGAACCUGGCGCAUGCACAUGGCCAGAGCCACCACUGGCUGGAACGGCUGGUGCCGGUGCUCAACUCCAUAUGCGAGGAGGCGUGCAACCUGGCCGCAUUCCACUUCUGCAUGGAGGCCGGCAUUAAGAAGCAGCAGGGCAAGACCAGCAUAUUUCGCGUCAUCAACGCCAUCGAGCCUCUGAAGAAGGUGGCCAGCUGCCCGAAUGCGAUCGCGUCUCGGUUCGCCGCACAGGCGCUGCGGCUCAUCGGCGAGGAGGUGCCGCACAAGCUCAGCCAGAAGGUGCCGCUGUGGUCGCCCGAAGACGUGCGCGAAUGGGUUCGGCAGAUCGGGUUCGGUGAGGUGUCAAGGAACUUCGUGGACAGCCGCGUGGACGGUGACCUGCUGCUGCAGCUCACCGAGGACAACCUCCGCCAGGACAUUGGCAUCAGCAACGGCAUAAUGCGCUGCAGGUUUAUGAGAGAAAUAUACUGCUUAAAACGAUUGGCCGACUACAGCAGCCGAGACUCGACCAAUCUGAACUCGUUCCUACAGUCCAUCGGACCGGAGUUUUCCGUUUAUACGUAUUCGAUGUUGAACGCUGGCGUCGACAGAGAUUCGAUCAGGUCAUUGUCGGACGAACAACUGUCGAGGGAGUGCGGAAUCACGAACAGCAUUCACCGGUACAGGAUACUAGACGCGAUCAGAGACAUGGAGACGUUCAUGGAAAUGUCGUCGUACGAGGAGAGCACGAAGAAAAACUUGGACGUGUUCAUCAGUUACAGACGUUCGACUGGAUCUCAAUUGGCCAGUUUGCUCAAAGUUCACCUGCAGCUCCGGGGGUAUUCGGUGUUCAUCGACGUGGAACGCCUGGAGGCCGGCAAGUUUGACAACAACCUAUUGCAGAGCAUCAAACUGGCCAAGACGUUCCUGCUGGUGCUGACGCCGAAAGCGUUGGACCGGUGCGUGGGCGACAACGAGUGCAAGGACUGGGUGCACAAGGAGAUCGUGGCCGCGAUACAAGACCAGUGCAAUAUCAUCCCGAUAAUGGACAACUUCGAGUGGCCCGAGGCGGAGACGUUGCCGGAGGACAUGCGCAACAUAUGGAAGUUCAACGGGGUGCGGUGGAUCCAUGAUUACCAGGACGCGUGCGUGGACAAGGUGGAGAGGUUCAUGCAGGGCGAGACGAACGGGAUCCGGGACGGGGCCAGCUCGGGCUUGUCACUGAACCGGUCGGGCGGCGGAGGCCCUUCGACCAUCAAGAGCGACCCUUCGGCUCCGAACACGCCGUUGAUGAUGGGAAGAUCACCGCCCACGUACCAGCGGACCCAGUCCAACGACAGUGAACGGGACCUGAACGGUAGUAAAGAUUGACUAGCGGCGAACACUUCCAGGUACGAUGACGGCGAUGCGGUUCAAGUUUUUUUUGCCACCCGAACCCGUCGCUCCUCGUGUCCGUCCGCUUGUUGUCGUAUGCACCGAUCCUGCAGCAGCGUGCGGCGAUAUCACGGCUAGAUACCGGAAGUGUUCGCGACAACCGGCGGCGCGGAAGCCGCCCAUGAGCCCGACGUCCGGUCACGGCGGCAAGAGCAAGAAGCGCGCCCGGAGCGUGGAAGGUCUGCUGGAGACGACCGCCGUGGCCGCGUCGUCGCCGCCAUCGCAGGCGCAGGCCCAGAUGAAGAAGGCCAGGAGCUUAGAGGAGUAUCUGGAUAGAUGCGACGGGGACGCGGAGGAGGACGGCAACAGUGCGUCCGCGUCCGCCACCGAUAGCCUCAAGAAACGGACUAACUUCGUGGACAAGUGCAUCGUCAAGAUGAAAUCGCUGAUGGCCGGUCACCGGCCGAAGGACGGCGGCGGCGGGGACUCGUCGAAGUGAUGACUUGGCCGAAGUAACUUCGGGGGUCGACGUAACAUAACCCUAAGAACAAUGUAAUUUUAAUUAUACAUAUAUAUAUAUAUAUGUUUAGUGUAUAUACGUGGUGUACAUAGUUUUUACGUAGAUGUAAUGUGAUUAUCGUUUUUACAUUUUUUUAAUGCUUGUGUUCACCUACUGUUCGUACCUUAUAAUAUAUGUAUAUUUUUUUAAACCUCUAA